UUUCAUCUCUGUCUUUGCUUUCGUCUAUUCCUUCUCUGCAACUCAUUCUCACAGAGUUUUUGCUAAAAUGCGCUAUAUGCGUAUCGAGCAGUGACGAUUUCGGAUCUUUCAAAACAGGUGAGAGGAAAAAAAUGGCCAAUUGGAUCUCCUCGAAACUCAAAGUCGCUGAGACCUUCUUUGAACAGAUCGAUCAGCAAGCGGCGGAGUCGUUGAAGAAGAACGAGAAUCCAUCGCGAUCUGAGGAUAAAAAAUUUCAUGUACCUACAAAAACGGGAGGAGUAGGUGCUGGUGCUGGUGCUGGUGGAGUUAAUUGCGCGGCUGUAAGCACAGCCUCAGACGCAGAGACAAAAAGGAAAAAUAAGUUCGAGAUUCAAACACUCACAGGUUGGCUAUUGAAGCAGGAACAAGCAGAGAGCAAGCAUCUCUAACUUAACUGGAGUUCAGGGUGCUUUUAAUGUUCAAGGAGAGGACCAAAAGAAGCUUGAUGCGGUCUCUAAUGAGGUCUGCAAAUAGAAAAUUACUUUACUUUCAUAAACAACGCGUGCAUACAAAUUUUAAUAUAUUAUGAAGAUAGUCUAAAAAAUUAUCUGGAUUUUCAGUAUCUUUUAUUAUAAAUGAAGUGUGAAUGCUAGCAACAUAUUAGCUGCAAAUUGGAAUUCUUUGUUUGUAAAACUGUAAAUAUGCUAAGACAUCAUUGUGCUCUUUGAGCAAUUUAAAUCUCAAAAAUCAAUUCAGCAUUAUUAAUUCCUCAUUGGUAUCUCAAAAAUAAUAGUCCACUCCACUAUGCACAGUACGAUGACAGUCUUAAGCUUCCUAACAUCUCAUAACUCAUUCUUGAAUAGCAACAUCUUUUGUGUUUGAAUCAUCAGGCACAAUUAUUGAGAUUGGUUAUUUUGCACUUACAGGUGUUCUCUAGCUGCUUGAGAUCAAGUGGGCGGAC
RNAcentral lists this unclassified non-coding RNA (940 nucleotides) under Hevea brasiliensis (rubber tree). Lineage: Eukaryota; Viridiplantae; Streptophyta; Magnoliopsida; Malpighiales; Euphorbiaceae. The record is from RNAcentral.